Molecule: small RNA, 20 nt
Filed under: Arabidopsis thaliana (thale cress)
Lineage: Eukaryota; Viridiplantae; Streptophyta; Magnoliopsida; Brassicales; Brassicaceae
Description: AGO1_6211
Source: RNAcentral
GGAACCGUUGAUUCGCACAA